RNAcentral lists this RNase P RNA (358 nucleotides) under Desulfuromonadales bacterium. RNAcentral describes it as "partial RNase P RNA component class A". It matches the Rfam family "Bacterial RNase P class A". Rfam says of the family: Ribonuclease P (RNase P) is a ubiquitous endoribonuclease, found in archaea, bacteria and eukarya as well as chloroplasts and mitochondria. Its best characterised activity is the generation of mature 5'-ends of tRNAs by cleaving the 5'-leader elements of precursor-tRNAs. Cellular RNase Ps are ribonucleoproteins. Lineage: Bacteria; Pseudomonadati; Thermodesulfobacteriota; Desulfuromonadia; Desulfuromonadales. The record is from RNAcentral.
UAUGGUGGGCGGGAGGAAAGUCCGGGCUCCACAGGGCAGGAUGGUCCUUAACGGGGACCGGGGGCGACCCCAGGGAAAGUGCCACAGAAAGCAAACCGUCCACUUAAAGCUCUAUGAAGGUGGAUAAGGGUGAAAGGGUGAGGUAAGAGCUCACCAGUGCCGGCGGUGACGUCGGUAGCUCGGUAAACCCCAUCCGGAGCAAGGCCAAAUAGGGGAGCGCUUGAGGACGGCCCGUUCGAAGCUCCCGGGUCAGGCUGCUUGAGGCCGUCGGCAACGGCGGCCCUAGAGGAAUGAUCGUCGCCCCGCAGCGGGUAACCGCUACAGGGAACAGAACCCGGCUUACGGUUCUCUCUGACCA